This 577-nucleotide ribosomal RNA is filed under the name uncultured bacterium. RNAcentral's name for it is "partial 16S ribosomal RNA". It matches the Rfam family "Bacterial small subunit ribosomal RNA", at positions 355 to 932 of the family's 1533-position model. The record is from RNAcentral.
UGGGGAAUUUUGGACAAUGGGCGAAAGCCUGAUCCAGCAAUGCCGCGUGUGUGAAGAAGGCCUUCGGGUUGUAAAGCACUUUUGUCCGGAAAGAAAUCCUUGGCUCUAAUACAGUCGGGGGAUGACGGUACCGGAAGAAUAAGCACCGGCUAACUACGUGCCAGCAGCCGCGGUAAUACGUAGGGUGCAAGCGUUAAUCGGAAUUACUGGGCGUAAAGCGUGCGCAGGCGGUUUGCUAAGACCGAUGUGAAAUCCCCGGGCUAACCUGGGAACUGCAUUGGUGACUGGCAGGCUAGAGUAUGGCAGAGGGGGGUAGAAUUCCACGUGUAGCAGUGAAAUGCGUAGAGAUGUGGAGGAAUACCGAUGGCGAAGGCAGCCCCCUGGGCCAAUACUGACGCUCAUGCACGAAAGCGUGGGGAGCAAACAGGAUUAGAUACCCUGGUAGUCCACGCCCUAAACGAUGUCAACUAGUUGUUGGGGAUUCAUUCCUUAGUAACGUAGCUAACGCGUGAAGUUGACCGCCUGGGGAGUACGGUCGCAAGAUUAAAACUUAAAGGAAUUGACGGGGUCAUAGCUG